UGGGGGAUAUUGCACAAUGGAGGAAACUCUGAUGCAGCAACGCCGCGUGAAGGAAGAAGGCCUUCGGUUGUAAACUUCUGUCCUUAGUGACGAUAAUGACGGUAGCUAAGGAGGAAGCCACGGCUAACUACGUGCCAGCAGCCGCGGUAAUACGUAGGUGGCAAGCGUUGUCCGGAAUUACUGGGUGUAAAGGGUGCGUAGGCGGCUCUUAAAGUCAGAUGUGAAAAUACCGCAGCUUAACUGCGGGGCUGCAUUUGAAACUUAGGAGCUUGAGUGAAGUAGAGGUAAGCGGAAUUCCUAGUGUAGCGGUGAAAUGCGUAGAUAUUAGGAGGAACACCAGUGGCGAAGGCGGCUUACUGGGCUUUAACUGACGCUGAGGCACGAAAGCGUGGGUAGCAAACAGGAUUAGAUACCCUGGUAGU
This 422-nucleotide ribosomal RNA is filed under the name uncultured Clostridium sp. RNAcentral describes it as "bacterial SSU rRNA". It matches the Rfam family "Bacterial small subunit ribosomal RNA", at positions 355 to 794 of the family's 1533-position model. The record is from RNAcentral. Lineage: Bacteria; Bacillati; Bacillota; Clostridia; Eubacteriales; Clostridiaceae.